GGAGUUUGAUCCUGGCUCAGGAUGAACGCUAUCAAUAUACUUGACACAUGCAAGUCAAACGAAAUUUUUUUUCGUGGCGUAAGGGUGAGUAAUACAUAAGAAUCUACCAUUGAAUUAUGGCACAAACAAAUCUACUAAAGAGAAAAGAUUUUAUUAUCUAAUGUUAAUGUCUAAAGAAUGACAAUUCGUUUAAUGAUGAGCUUAUGGAAGAUUAGGUAGUUGGUGUGGGUAAAAGCCUACCAAGCCGAUGAUCUUUAGCUGGUUUGAGAGAAUGAUCAGCCACACUGGAACUGAAACAAGGUCCAGGCUUUUUCGGAAGCCAGCAGUGAGGAAUAUUGGACAAUGGGCGAAAGCCUGAUCCAGUAAUAUUGAGUGCGCGAGGAAAGCAUAAAAGACAUUUUAUAUGUUGGCUGUAAAGCGCUUUCGGCAAAGAAGAUUAUGACUUAUUUGAUGAAGAAGCCCCGGCUAAUUUCGUGCCAGCAGCCGCGGUAAGACGAGAGGGGCGAGCGUUAUCCGGAAUAACUGGGCGUAAAGGGUCCGUAGGUUGUAGUUUGUAUGCUUUUAGUAAAAGACAAAAAUUUAAUUUUUGAAAUGCUUUAAGGACAGAUCUACUAGAGUUUAGCAGAGGAUAAUAGAAUUCCAUGUGGAGGGGUGGAAUCCUAAGAUAUAUGGAGGAAUGCCAGUAGCGAAAGCGAUUAUCUGGGCUAUUACUGACACUGAGGGACGAAAGCGUAGGUAGCAAACAGGAUUAGAUACCCUGGUAGUCUACGCUGUCAAUGCUGAGUGCUAAUAUUUGGAAUAAUAUUUUAGAUAUACAGUUAACACGUUAAGCACUCCGCCUGAGGAGUACGGCCGCAAGGCUAAAACUCAAAGGAAUUGACGGGGGUCUACACAAGUGGUGGAGCAUGUGGUUUAAUGCGAUAAUACGCGCGUAACCUUACCAGCUUUUGCAUAUUUUUAAUAUUACGAUUAAUAUUCGUGGUGUUUUUUAUAAAUUCUUUGUGUAUCUUUAUAAAAAACUAAAAAAUACAGGUGUUGCAUGGCUGUCGUCAGCUCGUGUUGUGAAAUGUUUGGUUAAGUCCUUUAACGAGCGCAACUCCCAUUCUAUAUUAAGCUUUUUAUUUGAAAAAUCAGAUAUAAUAUGCUUAUAGAAAACAGCUAGUUAUAAGCUAGAGGAAGGUGGGAACGACGUCAAGCCCUCAUGGCCCUUAUAAGCUGGGCUACAACACGUGCUACAAUAGAAAAGACAAAAAGAAGCAAAAACGUGAGUUUAAGCAAAACUAAAAACUUUUCUGUGUUCGGAUUGUAGGCUGCAACUCGCCUACAUGAAGUCGGAAUCACAAGUAAUCGUAAAUCAGGAACGUUACGGUGAAUUUGUACCUAGAUCUUGUACACACCGCCCGUCAUUUAGGGGAAGUUUUCUUUGCUUGAAAUUUAUUUUUGAAAUAUAAAAAAAUUAUUACAUUGUUUAUUUGAUUAAUCAA
RNAcentral lists this ribosomal RNA (1484 nucleotides) under soil metagenome. RNAcentral describes it as "bacterial SSU rRNA". It matches the Rfam family "Bacterial small subunit ribosomal RNA". The record is from RNAcentral.